Molecule: ribosomal RNA, 336 nt
Filed under: uncultured bacterium
Lineage: Bacteria
Description: bacterial SSU rRNA
Rfam family: Bacterial small subunit ribosomal RNA
Source: RNAcentral
GCUCAGAUUGAACGCUGGCGGCAGGCCUAACACAUACAAGUCGAGCGGCAGCACGGGAAGCUUGCUUCCUGGUGGCGAGCGGCGGACGGGUGAGUAAUGCAUAGAAAUCUGCCCGGUAGUGGGGGAUAACCUGGGGAAACCCAGGCUAAUACCGCAUACGUCCUACGGGAGAAAGCAGGGGAUCUUCGGACCUUGCGCUAUCGGAUGAGUCUAUGUCGGAUUAGCUUGUUGGUGAGGUAAUGGCUCACCAAGGCGACGAUCCGUAGCUGGUCUGAGAGGAUGAUCAGCCACAUCGGGACUGAGACACGGCCCGAACUCCUACGGGAGGCAGCAGUA